UACAGAGGUCUCAACCGUUGUUCGGAUUCAUUGGGCGUAAAGGGUGCGUAGGCGGUCGCGCAAGUCGGAUGUGAAAUCUUAGGGCUCAACCCUGAAACUGCAUUCGAUACUGCGUGGCUCGAGUACUGGAGAGGAGACUGGAAUUUACGGUGUAGCAGUGAAAUGCGUAGAUAUCGUAAGGAAGACCAGUGGCGAAGGCGGGUCUCUGGACAGUUCCUGACGCUGAGGCACGAAGGCCAGGGGAGCAAACGGG
RNAcentral lists this ribosomal RNA (253 nucleotides) under uncultured bacterium. RNAcentral describes it as "partial 16S ribosomal RNA". It matches the Rfam family "Bacterial small subunit ribosomal RNA", at positions 524 to 776 of the family's 1533-position model. The record is from RNAcentral.